This is a long non-coding RNA of Trachemys scripta elegans, 1434 nucleotides long. RefSeq lists it as uncharacterized. Lineage: Eukaryota; Metazoa; Chordata; Testudines; Emydidae. The transcript is spliced from 3 exons. The record is from RefSeq and is a predicted model, not a curated record.
UUAGUCUCUAAGGUGCCACAAGUACUCCUGUUCUUUUUAGAAUUAAAUGGUCACUUCUGAGAAUAGUGAGACUUGAGAAUGAGGGAUGAAAAGGGAAAACUGAGAGAACAUGAAUGGAGAGGAAAAUAUAGCAGGGAGUGAAGAAGAGAGACUUUGGACUAAGAAGAGAAGAGGAAAGAGAAUAGAAAAUUGGGGAGGAUGCAGAAUGUGGCAUGAGACAGAAUUAGGAGAAUAGAAAUGCAUCAUCAAAGUAGAAGAAAAGUUGAAAAUAUUUUCAUAGAGAGAAAAGCAGAGACCGUGAGGAGAGAGAAGGCAAAAAUCACUAUAGAGAAAUGAAGAAGAAUAAAAAAAGGAAGAGCAGCAGACAAGGGAAUAAGGAAAUGGAAAAGGGAAAAUAAAAGCAGCUCAACAAGAGGAUUAAAUGAGAGAAAGGCAAUGUCUUCAAAGAGCCCAGACUCCUGAGCAAAAUGGGAUAAAUAUCCAGCUACCUGAACCAGCGCUGUACACUACGUUUCUGAACACUUAUUCUGGACUCUUUGGCAUAACAGAGGUGAAUCAGGCCCAAAUGAAAAGAGAAUCUCUAUGAUCUGUCCCUGGUUUCUGGCAAACACACUGCCACAAGGACAGCAUAGCUGCUCUGCCCCCUUGCAAUUGUUGCCGUGUGAGCUGCUCCUUCACCUGCCUGCACCAUGCAACUCAAGCACUGCUGGCCACAAGGAAGAAGCGAGAAGGCCAUGGAAAAACUCCCUUUCCAGAGAAAGUGUUUUUAGACUUGAACACAGAGUGGAUUAAUCAGAAGUGUAACUGUUUGAUCAAUAAUGCAAAGACCCCAGCUCAGCCAUACAUACCAAGGUCCCACCACUGUUGUUAAAACAGAACAGAAAAGAAAGAUUUAUACAGCUGCUCUGGCCUGCUGGAGAACUACAGUUUGCAUAGUUUAAUGGACUGUUAAAACAAAGAGCAUCAACAAAUAUGGAGGGAACUUUGUUAAAGAGCAUCAACAAAUAUGGAGGGAACUUUGAAUUGAGUAUUUCAUCAACUAGGAGAGUGUUGAUGGAGAAAAUGCAACUUAAGUAAGCAUAACUGCAAAGUUGGCUAAGGAAUGCACUGCAAAGGGGCCCAGGGAAAGUGGCUUAGAGAUGUAAGUUGCCACCAGGGGCAAAUCAGACAGUAUUCGAGGUGUGUCCCAAGAUUGUUGUACCAACAUCUGUGGCCUAAUUUGUUGUACACAAGCUGGUGUGAUAAAAUGUAUUGCACAUAGAGACUGGAAAAUUCCAUUCCCACUUGAAAGAACUCAAAGCUGAUAUCUCAUUCCCUGAUUGGUUGGUGAGAGAGGAUGUCUCUCAUUUUGGUUGGACAUUUCACGUCUUUUGGAAGAAAUAUGGGUCACCAUCUGAUUGGCCCAGGCCAGCACCUCUAAGAAGAGAAACCACA